Molecule: ribosomal RNA, 486 nt
Filed under: uncultured Anoxybacillus sp.
Lineage: Bacteria; Bacillati; Bacillota; Bacilli; Caryophanales; Anoxybacillaceae
Description: bacterial SSU rRNA
Rfam family: Bacterial small subunit ribosomal RNA
Source: RNAcentral
AAACUUAAAGGAAGUUGACGGGGCCCGCACAAGCGGUGGAGCAUGUGGUUUAAUUCGAAGCAACGCGAAGAACCUCACCAGGUCUUGACAUCCCCUGACAACCCGAGAGAUCGGGCGUUCCCCUUCGGGGGACAGGGUGACAGGUGGUGCAUGGUUGUCGUCAGCUCGUGUCGUGAGAUGUUGGGUUAAGUCCCGCAACGAGCGCAACCCUCGACCUUAGUUGCCAGCAUUCAGUUGGGCACUCUAAGGUGACUGCCGGCUAAAAGUCGGAGGAAGUGGGGAUGACGUCAAAUCAUCAUGCCCCUUAUGACCUGGGCUACACACGUGCUACAAUGGGCGGUACAAAGGGUCGCGAACCCGCGAGGGGGAGCCAAUCCCAAAAAGCCGCUCUCAGUUCGGAUUGCAGGCUGCAACUCGCCUGCAUGAAGCCGGAAUCGCUAGUAAUCGCGGAUCAGCAUGCCGCGGUCGAAUACGUUCCCGGGCCUU